UUCUUUAAGAAAUAAUUUAAAGUAACACCUGCUCAAUGUCAAGAAUAAAUAGCCGCAGAAUCCCUGUGCUAAGGUAGCAUAAUAAUUUGCUUCUUAAUUAGAAGAUAGAAUGAAAGGUUACACAUUUAAUACUUGUAUCUUCUGAUCAUUAACUAAAUUAAGUAUAAAGUUAAAACUCUUUUACUAUUCGUGGGACGACAAGACCCUAAUAAACUUAUUAAUUAGUUGGGGAAACACAAUAAUAAAUAUUUAUAUAUAAUCAUAACAAACCUUUAAUAUAAAAUAUAGACCAGUUACUAUAGGGAUAACAGCGUUAUUUUUCUUAAGAGUCCUUAUCUAAAGAAAAGAUUACGACCUCGAUGUUGAAUUAGUUUUCCUAUUAAAUGGCGCAAAAGCUAAAUAAGGUAGUCUGUUCGACUAUUAAAAAACU
RNAcentral lists this ribosomal RNA (430 nucleotides) under Pholcus wahehe. RNAcentral's name for it is "partial 16S ribosomal RNA". Lineage: Eukaryota; Metazoa; Arthropoda; Arachnida; Araneae; Pholcidae. The record is from RNAcentral.